CAGUCGCCACGGGAACACGUAGGGUGCAAGCGUUAAUCGGAAUUACUGGGCGUAAAGCGUGCGCAGGCGGUUCGCUAAGACAGAUGUGAAAUCCCCGGGCUUAACCUGGGAACUGCAUUUGUGACUGGCGGGCUAGAGUAUGGCAGAGGGGGGUAGAAUUCCACGUGUAGCAGUGAAAUGCGUAGAGAUGUGGAGGAAUACCGAUGGCGAAGGCAGCCCCCUGGGCCAAUACUGACGCUCAUGCACGAAAGCGUGGGGAGCAAACAGGAUUAGAUACCCCCGUAGUCCCUGUCUCUUAUAA
RNAcentral lists this ribosomal RNA (301 nucleotides) under uncultured bacterium. RNAcentral describes it as "partial 16S ribosomal RNA". It matches the Rfam family "Bacterial small subunit ribosomal RNA", at positions 509 to 809 of the family's 1533-position model. The record is from RNAcentral.